GAUGAACGCUGGCGGCGUGCUUAACACAUGCCAGUCGAACGGGAAACCUUUUAUUGAAGCUUCGGCAGAUUUAGCUGGUUUCUAGUGGCGGACGGGUGAGUAACGCGUGGGUAACCUGCCUUAUACAGGGGGAUAACAACCAGAAAUGGUUGCUAAUACCGCAUAAGCGCACAGGACCGCAUGGUCCGGUGUGAAAAACUCCGGUGGUAUAAGAUGGACCCGCGUUGGAUUAGCUAGUUGGCAGGGUAACGGCCUACCAAGGCGACGAUCCAUAGCCGGCCUGAGAGGGUGAACGGCCACAUUGGGACUGAGACACGGCCCAGACUCCUACGGGAGGCAGCAGUGGGGAAUAUUGCACAAUGGGGGAAACCCUGAUGCAGCGACGCCGCGUGAAGGAAGAAGUAUCUCGGUAUGUAAACUUCUAUCAGCAGGGAAGAUAGUGACGGUACCUGACUAAGAAGCCCCGGCUAACUACGUG
Molecule: ribosomal RNA, 478 nt
Filed under: uncultured bacterium
Lineage: Bacteria
Description: partial 16S ribosomal RNA
Rfam family: Bacterial small subunit ribosomal RNA
Source: RNAcentral